Molecule: ribosomal RNA, 468 nt
Filed under: uncultured bacterium
Lineage: Bacteria
Description: partial 16S ribosomal RNA
Rfam family: Bacterial small subunit ribosomal RNA
Source: RNAcentral
GACGAACGCUGGCGGCGUGCUUAACACAUGCAAGUCGAACGGAAAGGCCCUGCUUUUGUGGGGUGCUCGAGUGGCGAACGGGUGAGUAACACGUGAGUAACCUGCCCUUGACUUUGGGAUAACUUCAGGAAACUGGGGCUAAUACCGGAUAGGUGCUCCUGCUGCAUGGUGGGGGUUGGAAAGUUUCGGCGGUUGGGGAUGGACUCGCGGCUUAUCAGCUUGUUGGUGGGGUAGUGGCUUACCAAGGCUUUGACGGGUAGCCGGCCUGAGAGGGUGACCGGCCACAGUGGGACUGAGAGACGGCCCAGACUCCUACGGGAGGCAGCAGUGGGGAAGAUUGCACAAUGGGCGGAAGCCUGAUGCAGCAACGCCGCGUGCGGGAUGACGGCCUUCGGGUUGUAAACCGCUUUCGCCUGUGACGAAGCGUGAGUGACGGUAAUGGGUAAAGAAGCACCGGCUAACUACGUG